ACUACCACUGUGAUGCUAACUACACAGUGGGGGUCAGUACACUACGGAUCUACCUGAAGGUUCACAGCCUAACAGCUGCUCUUCUCCCUUUUCUGUGUAUUGUUGCUGAGGUACUUGUGUUAGUUAUUGUCAUAUUGGCUUGUGAAAGAAAGAUGAAGCAGAAGGAAGAACCUGCUGAUAUAAACCUUUCAAACAAACAGACCACAGAAGAGCUGCUUGAUUCCACCGAAAAUGGAACCCGGCAUAGAAAGGCUUAACCUACUUUUGUGCAAAAAAUGUGGAGCCAACAAAAGUGUGUUGGAGCAUCUUUAUUUUGCUGUGCACUAUUAUGGCUCAAAGGAAACAUAAAUAUGAUGGAAUGAGGAAUAUCAGUAAUGCUUGCUCUUCAUCUCUACUACAAUCAGAAUUCCAAAGCAAAGUUAACCCUGCUAUUAUCCAUACUAAUACAGUUCUUAUGAAUCCUCUAUACUUUUGAUCGUUGGAUAGUUUAAUUUGAUGCUAUCAGAUGUCUGAAAGAAUUGAAAAAAUUAUUAGAUGGAAGUCAAAUGCAAGCAUAGUAUCAGAAACCCUCCACGCAGAAGUAUGAAAAGUAGCAUUACUGCAGUUCACAACAUCACGUACAGUCCUACAACUUCCUGUUGUUUUAAAACCAGAAAUUGCUGGAAGUGCACAACAGAUCAGGCAGAAUCUGUUGUAAGAGAAAGUACAUUAAUAUUUCAGGUUGAUAAUUGCCAGUGAAGAUUCAUCAGCUUGAAACAUUACCUCUCUUUCCACAGAUGCUACAUGAUCUUGUAAAUAUUUCCAGCAUUCUUUUUUUGCUUUUUGAUCAGUGUAAAUUGUUGGCCACAAAUCCAUCAAGCAAUCUUCCGUCUGAUGGUCAAAAUUCAGCCAUGAUCUGAAAUGCUAACCUAACAUCUGAGUGACUGAAUGUGGGUCUGCCCCAUAUUGGGUGAGUUUGUUCCAUAACAGAAGAAAUGGAGAACCAUCAACACUUGGAGUACCAAUCAGUUGAAGGCCACAAACAAAGGAAAAAUAUUUGCAUUCUCUGUGCUUUGUGCAGAGCACAGAUCCAGGAUUGUUACCAAAAGUGGCCCUACCCUUUGGCUAGCCUAAAUAACCAUUUAAGUCUUUCUCAUGUAUAAUCAAAUGAAUUUUAACAAGCAUUGUACAAACAACAUCUGAUAUCUCUUCAAAUGCUUGCUGUUCUUCUCAAGCUACAUUAAUUGUUCAUUUUAUCUUAAGCCAUAAUUUAACUCUCCAGUAAUAUCAGAGACAUCAUGUUCUAAUCAAGCUUUGCAGUGAGUUUAGUUCUGCCUUAAGACUUACAAAAUGGUCCCAUGGCUGCAGUUCCCUUUGAU
This is a long non-coding RNA of Pristis pectinata (smalltooth sawfish), 1358 nucleotides long. RefSeq lists it as uncharacterized. Lineage: Eukaryota; Metazoa; Chordata; Chondrichthyes; Rhinopristiformes; Pristidae. The transcript is spliced from 4 exons. The record is from RefSeq and is a predicted model, not a curated record.